This 393-nucleotide ribosomal RNA is filed under the name uncultured Gammaproteobacteria bacterium. RNAcentral describes it as "bacterial SSU rRNA". It matches the Rfam family "Bacterial small subunit ribosomal RNA", at positions 35 to 412 of the family's 1533-position model. The record is from RNAcentral. Lineage: Bacteria; Pseudomonadati; Pseudomonadota; Gammaproteobacteria.
GCUGGCGGCAUGCCUAACACAUGCAAGUCGAACGGAAACGACAGAAAUAAUCACUUCGGUGUGCAUUUCUGGGCGUCGAGUGGCGGACGGGUGAGUAACGCGUAGGUAUCUACCUUAUAGUGGGGGACAACUCGGGGAAACUCGAGCUAAUACCGCAUAAGCCCUAUGGGGGAAAGCGGGGGAUCUUCGGACCUCGUGCUAUUAGAUGAGCCUGCGUCGGAUUAGCUUGUUGGUGGGGUAAAGGCCUACCAAGGCGACGAUCCGUAGCUGGUCUGAGAGGAUGAUCAGCCACACUGGGACUGAGACACGGCCCAGACUCCUACGGGAGGCAGCAGUGGGGAAUAUUGGACAAUGGGCGCAAGCCUGAUCCAACAAUGCCGCGUGUGUGAAGAA